This is an RNA transcript of Ananas comosus (pineapple), 4746 nucleotides long. It is a transcript of the gene named nuclear pore complex protein NUP1-like, with no coding region annotated. The transcript has 11 exons. NCBI's taxonomy places the organism in Eukaryota, Viridiplantae, Streptophyta, Magnoliopsida, Poales, Bromeliaceae. The record is from RefSeq and is a predicted model, not a curated record.
CACUCGUUACUUCUCCCUGCCCCCUCCUUUCCCACUCCCCCUCUCUCUCUCUCUCUCUCUCUCUCUUGCUCUCUCCAUUAUUUCGAUCCUUCUUUCUUGUAGCUUCGAUUGGGUCCUCCCAUGGCGGCUCCGGCUUACGAAGGCAGGAUCGGGGGCAAGAUCCGGCGGCGGCAGCCGAGGGCCGCGGCGGCGACGCCGUACGAUCGGCCUCCGGUGGCGACGCGCGAUACCAGGGUCGUCCCCGACGGCGCCGGCGCCGGCGCAGGUAGCGGGUGGCUCUCUAAGCUCGUCGACCCCGCCUCGCGCCUCAUCGCCGGUGGCGCCUCCAGGAUCUUCUCCUCCGUCUUCCGGAAGCGGCUCCCUCCGCCUACGAACCACCCAGAGGGAAAGCUUGAAUCCAGAGAACUUCCUGAAGUUACUUGCAUUAAUCCAUCAACUGAAAUAUUGGAUGCUGGUACUGUUUCAACAAAAAGUCCUCUUGACAAGGGUGUAUUUGAACAUACGGAUCCAACAAAAUGUCCUGAUGACAAGGGUAUAUCUGAACUAGAACGACUACUGAAGCAGAAGACAUUCACAAAGGCUGAGUUUGAUCAAUUGAAAGAAUUGCUGCUUUCAAGAACUGUUGAACCUAAUUUGUCAAAGCCAGCUAUUAAUAACGAGAAAAAUUGUGAAAUAGAUGUGCCCGCAAGAGAAAAGGGAGUGGGAACCUCUAGAACAGACGAGAAUUUGCCAAAUGCUGCCGGGCAUGUAACUAUUCCUGAGGAUGAAAUUGCUUCACCUGCAGAGCUUGCAAAAGCAUAUAUGAGUUCUAGGUCUUCAAAUGUAUUCCAUUCGGCACUAAGAUUGCAGAGCCGAGUCCAUCUGAAGGACAAGGGAAUGCCAAGUAGUGCAGUUCAUGCAACGAAACCAUCUGGACUGUUGUUCGCUUCAAGCUCUACAGUCCAGUUUUCUAGACUACCCGAGAGUGGCUAUGUGACUCCGAGACCUCGAGGGAGAUCAGCAAUAUAUAAAAUGGCGCAAUCUCCACAUUUUAAGGGUAUAGGAUCUUCUGAGGAGGUUUCCCCAUUCUCCUUGACAUCUUAUCACACCCCAACAGCCAACAUGUAUUCCGGUCGCAGGCAGGUCUUGAAACGAAUAAGUUCUGUCUUGGAUAGCGAAAUUGGUUCCAUUAGUUCCAUACGCAGGAUAAGACAUAAGUCUAACAUGUUAUCUCCUUCAAGGGAAUCGCGCCCUAGCCAUCAUGGAAAUCUUCUUAUUAGCACAAGCACAAGUGACGAGGAUGUUAUCCAAUGUUCUGCAUCACUUCCAAAGCCUUUUGGCCUGGAUAAUCUGAAUUAUAGUACAAUGAAAGGAAAGAACAAGGAAUAUGAAGAUGAAGUAUAUAACGAUAGUGUUACUCCUAUUGCUCCUCAGUCGACUAAGAUGGCCAUGAAAAUACUGAACCAACUCGAUAAACUAAUGCCUUCACCAAAGGAUAAACAAUCUGAAACAGAGUGCAUUACCAGAGACAAAUCACCAUUCAAGGUAGGACAAGCUAGUAAUUGGGAAGUUACUACCAAUAGCUCUCCUGUCACAAGAAAUGCUCUAUCUCAAAAGCAAGUCAUAGAAGAGGAUCUUGCGAAACCUUCUACAUCAGGAGUUAAAUUACCAUAUGGAAGCAAUAGCAUCAAGGAGAUUGUUAAAUCUGUCUCAACUACCACAUCUGGCAAGUCUGCUUUUGAUGUCUUUUCAGACUCUGUUCCUGUUCCUCUACGAGAGAAGCAAGGAUUUCGGAUGAUUGCACCUGAGGAUUUUGUGGAGCUUGACAAGGCUGAGAAUCGUGAAAGAGAUGGUGAUAGACCUCUGAUAUCUUCUUUGGAAAGUGGGCCUUCAUCUAGCUUCAAUGUUUCCAGUAAUACAGAUAAAAUGGCAGCAAUACCUCCCUUUUCUAAUAAUAGUACUGGCUUUACAUUCUCUUUUGGACCAGCUAAUAGCACUCCGCCACCUCAAUUAGGUACAGUACCUUUGCCUGAUACAUCACCUACAAAGAAGGAACAAACUCGUGCUCAUGCUCCCACAUUUACCUUUGGCUGCAAGGAAUCUCAUACACCUAUGUUGUCAACGGCAACUGCUCUAGUAAAAGAUAUUGUGAGUGGUGCAGAACCAACAAAUGAUCCAUCAAAAUCAUCAAAUACUGCCGUCUCGUCAGGAAUAUCAACAAUUGAUCAUUCAAAAUCAUCUGAAAAUGCUAUUUCUUCAGGAGUAUUGACAUCAAACAACCCUCCUGUUUUUGCUUUUGGUGCUUCUGCCACUCCAAACUUAAGCAAUGGUUCCUUGCAUUCAUCAUCAAACUUAACUGUGUCUUUAUUCCCUGUUGGGUCACCUAAUCCGGAACCUCCCAAGUUGGUUUUCUCCGCCAGCACAAUGACCUCUACCACUCCCACCAGUCUGUCAGCCUCUCUUGCAGCUCCCUUAUUUUCUGCAAAUCCCUCGUUUCAUUUUGGCUCUAGUACUUCUAUGGCUUCUCAAACAGCUACUUCACCACUAGCCUUUGCUGUAGAUGCUGGCUCAACUCUGGGUGCAUCUGCACCCUCAAACAGUGGCAGCACUGUAUUAUCAAGCUUGGAAAAUGGUUCUUCCUCGACAGCACCAUCUAUUAUUUCAAGUGCUCCAGCUGUGUCAACUCUCUUUACAAGCACAUCCAGCUCUCAAUCUGCUAUUGCACCAUCAUUCACCUUUUCAAGUACAGAAAACAGCAUUUUCGGUUACAGUGCUCCUGCACAAUCUACUGGCUCAAGUUCUUUUGCUAAUAAUAGUUCUCAAACAGCUUUUGCUUUAAUGACUCAGCCAGCUCAAUCCGGAAGUGGAGUUCUACAGUUACCACAAAUCUCAGCAAGUCAAUUUUCUGCCCCAUUGGGCUCAGCAUCCACAGCAUCUGGGCUUCUUAACUCCGGCUUUAGCUUUUCUUCCUCACUUGCUCCUGCUUCUUCCAGCUCUGGCACCAACUCUUCCUCUGCACCAAAUAUGAGCACAAAUUUGUUCAGCUCGAUUUCAAUGCCAUCCGCACCAGCCAUUUUCAACACUAAUUCCAGUUCUAUCGCACCCUCAGCUACUGGGUUCACAUUCACACCAUCAACUGCUUCAAGCAGUUCACCUUUUUCAUCCAACUCAUCCUUACCUACAGUCUUUCCAUUCACUUCAGCUAGCAGUACGAUCCCUUUGCUUCCUUCAAGUUCAGGAUCUCCUGCAAGUGAUCAGAUGAAUGUAGAGGACAGGAUGGCUGAUGAUAGCCCUAAGCAGGAUGCAGUUUCUGUGUUUGGCCAACCGGGUGUUUCACCUGCUCCUCUGGCAUUUGAUACUCCCACUACCUCCUCUGUUGGAUUGCCCGUCUUUCAAUUCAGCAGUCAGCAGAGUUCAGUUGCCCAGAACCCAUUGCCAUUUCAAGAUGCGGGUGGUCUAGGGGUUUCUCCGGGAGGGAGCAGCUUCUCCUUGGGAACCGGAGGUGGCGAUAAGUCAGGUCGGAGAAUCAUCAAAGUUAGACGAGAUAAAUUGAGGAAAAGAUAAGGUUUAUGUACCGUGCAAACGACACACGGACACCCAAACAGUAGUGAGCUAGCAAUCUCUUCAUGCAGAUUUAUUUAUUAAUGUAUUCUUAUGAUAAAAUUUGAGUGGAAAGAGCCUUCGAUUUAUUGCGACGUGUUUUAAAUGUCAUGUAUUAAUUCUAUCUUCAUCAAACAUAUCGUUGAAUAUUUUUUAAUCUUAAAAUUUAAAUUUAUUUUAAAAAAAUCUGGAGAAAAAAAUUAAAAUUUUUGGAUAGAAAUUAAAAAUGAGCCUGGGAUUUUGUCGGGUCGGUUGGGUUGUGUGGGGUGCGUAAUAAAUUCAGCAGCAGCAGCAGCAGCAGCAGCAGCAGAGGAGACGAUAUGACGUUUGGGAUUCCCCCCAGCAGGAGGAAUAGCGGUUCGUUGGUGCAGCUCGAGACUCCUAUUAACAGGGGAAUUCAAGAAGAACUUCGAUCUUUACGUCGCAGCGGGAUGUUGGGAGUUAUGGAAAGAACGCAACAGAAGACUUUUCGACAACAAGUCACAACGAAGCGAAAUACUGGCAAGAGCAAUCAACGACACGAUCAAGCAAUGGGUCUCUGCGUUAGGGUGCUAAGUUAGCCCGCUACUAUCUUUAACUCGGAUGAGUGUUUUCUCUAUAGCUUACUAGUAUACUACCUAUUGUACUUCUCUGUCCUCCCUCUUCUGACCCAUGUACUCCUGAUCUCUUGUUGAAAUAGGGUAUAUCCCUGUUUAAUCAAAAAAAAAAAAAAAUUUGCUACAUGAAUGUUUGGGAUAAUCUGUUAGUCUGGUUAAUUUUAAGAGGUCAUGAAUUAAUUUUUUGCUUCUUUGUUUUCAAUUUCUCUUUUUACCAGGUUCGUUGCAGGAACCUAUGCGUAAACUCCAAAAAGUUUUUUUUUUUUAAAAAAAGAAACUUUGGACUAUGCGAUCUCACGGCAUUUACCUGACCUGAACACUAAAUGCUGCAGAUCCAAGCUGGCAACUGUCCUGAGAUUAAAGACGCAAAACACUACACAUACUUUAUCGGCUGCCGUGUACGUACUCACCCACCUAUGAAUGCAAGAUUAGGAGGCAGAAAAAAUCACUGGUAACUGUAAUUUACUAAUUCUCACGUCUUUUGAUGAUUUUUUUUUUCAAAGACAGAUGCAUCAUCUGCUGUCAGAGAUAAGAAAAUCACACAAUAAAUAGCAUCUCUUAUCAGUAUGCA